RNAcentral lists this ribosomal RNA (2407 nucleotides) under Clostridium sp. Its description in RNAcentral is "partial 23S ribosomal RNA". It matches the Rfam family "Bacterial large subunit ribosomal RNA", at positions 1 to 2532 of the family's 2925-position model. Lineage: Bacteria; Bacillati; Bacillota; Clostridia; Eubacteriales; Clostridiaceae. The record is from RNAcentral.
GGUCAAGUUAUUAAGGGUGCAGGGCGGAUGCCUUGGCACUAGGAGCCGAUGAAGGACGUGAUAAGCUGCGAUAAGCUUCGGGGAGUUGCACGUAAACUUUGAUCCGAAGAUUUCCGAAUGAGGAAACUCACUUAGAGUAAUGUCUAAGUAUCAUUAAGUGAAUACAUAGCUUAAUGAGGGGAACUCAGGGAACUGAAACAUCUAAGUACCUGAAGGAAGAGAAAGAAAUUCGAUUCCGUAAGUAGCGGCGAGCGAACGCGGAUUAGCCCAAACCAAUAAAGUUUUCUUUAUUGGGGUUGCGGACAUAUCAUAACGAAGAGGUAUCGUAAUUGAAGAGGUUUGGAAAGACCCACCACAGAAGGUAAUAGUCCUGUAUGUUAAACGAGAAGACUUUAGAUAUGAUCCAGAGUACCACGGGACACGUGAAACCCUGUGGGAAGCAGGAGGGACCACCCUCCAAGGCUAAAUACUACCUAGUGACCGAUAGCGUAUAGUACCGUGAGGGAAAGGUGAAAAGAACCCCGGGAGGGGAGUGAAAUAGAACCUGAAACCCUGCACUUACAAGCUGUGGAAGCACAUUUCUUGUGUGACCGCGUACUUUUUGUAGAACGGGCCAACGAGUUACGUUAAGUAGCAAGGUUAAGCACUUAAGGUGCGGAGCCGUAGCGAAAGCGAGUUUUAACUGAGCGUUCAGUUACUUGACGUAGACCCGAAACCGGGCGACCUACCCAUGAGCAGGAUGAAGCGAAAGUAAAAUUUCGUGGAGGUCCGAACCCACGAGCGUUGAAAAGCUCGGGGAUGACUUGUGGGUAGCGGUGAAAUUCCAAUCGAGCCCGGAGAUAGCUGGUUCUCCCCGAAAUAGCUUUAGGGCUAGCCUCAAGGUGAGAGAUACGGAGGUAGAGCACUGAAUGUCCUAGGGGGUAUUGCACCUACCGAAGACUAUCAAACUCCGAAUGCCGUCAUCUUAUACUUGGGAGUCAGACUGUGGGUGAUAAGAUUCAUAGUCGAAAGGGCAACAGCCCAGAUCGUCAGCUAAGGUCCCUAAAUGUAAGUUAAGUGGUAAAGGAUGUGGGAUUGCACAGACAACCAGGAUGUUGGCUUAGAAGCAGCCACUCAUUCAAAGAGUGCGUAAUAGCUCACUGGUCGAGUGAUCCUGCGCCGAAGAUUUCCGGGGCUAAAACUUACUACCGAAGCUACGGCAUCAGUAAUGAUGGGUAGGGGAGCUUCCCAUACGGGUUGAAGCAUGACCGUAAGGACAUGUGGACAGUAUGGGAGUGAGAAUGUUGGCAUGAGUAGCGAGAUGUGGGUGAGAAUCCCACAGGCCGUAAACCCAAGGUUUCCAGGGGAAGGUUCGUCCGCCCUGGGUUAGUCGGGACCUAAGCUGAGGCCGAAAGGCGUAGGUGAUGGACAACAGGUUGAUAUUCCUGUACUACCGAUAACCGUUUGAGAGAAGGGAUGACACAGUAGGAUAAGCUAAGCACACUGUUGGUUAUGUGUGCCCAAGCAUUGAGGCAGUCAAAGUAGGCAAAUCCGCUUUGAUAAUGCUGGGAUGUGAUGGGGAGCGAAAUUUAGUAGCGAAGUAGCUGAUUUCACACUGUCAAGAAAAGUCUCUAUCGAGGUUAAAGGUACCCGUACCGCAAACCGACACAGGUGGGUGAGGAGAGUAUCCUAAGGCCAGCGAGAGAACUGUUGUUAAGGAACUCGGCAAAAUGACCCCGUAACUUAGGGAUAAGGGGUGCCACCAUCAGGUGGCCGCAGAGAAUAGGCCCAAGCGACUGUUUACCAAAAAAGCCCCAGUAAACGGCGGCCGUAACUAUAACGGUCCUAAGGUAGCGAAAUUCCUUGUCGGGUAAGUUCCGACCCGCACGAAAGGCGUAACGAUUUGGGCACUGUCUCAACAACAGACUCGGUGAAAUUGUAAUUCCGGUGAAGAUGCCGGAUACCUGCGACAGGACGGAAAGACCCCAUGGAGCUUUACUGUAGCUUGACAUUGGGUCUUGGUACUACAUGUACAGGAUAGGUGGGAGGCUUUGAAACCAGGACGCCAGUUUUGGCGGAGCCAUCCUUGGGAUACCACCCUUGUAGUACUGGGACUCUAACCAUAGGCCAUGAAUCUGGUCUUGGGACACUGUCAGGUGGGCAGUUUGACUGGGGCGGUCGCCUCCCAAAAGGUAACGGAGGCGCUCAAAGGUUCUCUCAGUACGGUCGGAAAUCGUACGUAGAGUGUAAAGGCAAAAGAGAGCUUGAUUGCAAGACAUACAGGUCGAGCAAGGAUGAAAAUCGGACUUAGUGAUCCGGUGGUUCUGCGUGGAAGGGCCAUCGCUCAACGGAUAAAAGCUACCCUGGGGAUAACAGGCUUAUCUCCCCCAAGAGUCCACAUCGACGGGGAGGUUUGGCACCUCGAUGU